This 337-nucleotide ribosomal RNA is filed under the name uncultured Spirochaeta sp. Its description in RNAcentral is "bacterial SSU rRNA". It matches the Rfam family "Bacterial small subunit ribosomal RNA", at positions 1045 to 1382 of the family's 1533-position model. The record is from RNAcentral. Lineage: Bacteria; Pseudomonadati; Spirochaetota; Spirochaetia; Spirochaetales; Spirochaetaceae.
AUGGCUGUCGUCAGCUCGUGCUGUGAAGUGUUGGGUUAAGUCCCGCAACGAGCGCAACCCUGUUUCUAGUUACCAGCACGUAAUGUGGGGACGUCUAGAGAGACUGCCGGUGACAAACCGGAGGAAGGUGGGGAUGACGUCAAGUCAUCAUGGCCCUUAUGUCCUGGGCUACACACGUGCUACAAUGGCCGGUACAGAGCGCAGCGAUACCGCGAGGUGGAGCAAAUCGCAGAAAGCCGGUCUCAGUACGGAUUGGAGUCUGAAACCCGACUUCAUGAAGGUGGAAUCGCUAGUAAUCGCGCAUCAGCAUGGCGCGGUGAAUACGUUCCCGGGCCUU